GAACCUGGCUCAGGAUGAACGCUAGCGACAGGCUUAACACAUGCAAGUCGAGGGGCAUCAUGAGGUAGCAAUACCUUGAUGGCGAUCGGCGCACGGGUGAGUAACGCGUAUGCAACCUGCCCGAUACCGGGGUAUAGCCCAUGGAAACGUGGAUUAACACCCCAUAGUACUUUUAUCCUGCCUGGGAUGGGAGUUAAAUGUUCAAGGUAUCGGAUGGGCAUGCGUCCUAUUAGUUAGUUGGCGGGG
Molecule: ribosomal RNA, 246 nt
Filed under: uncultured bacterium
Lineage: Bacteria
Description: partial 16S ribosomal RNA
Rfam family: Bacterial small subunit ribosomal RNA
Source: RNAcentral